AAAAUCUGCUUUUAAGGGAGACACCAUGGUCGCAAAGGUGGUUUUCCCGGGGUAGGCUCUUCCAUUGCAAUCUGGGUGUGCUGACCUCUGUGAUUUCCCUGGGUGGGGAAACUUGACUGCAUAAUUUGUGGUAGUGGGGGACUGUGUUCGCGCUUUCCCCUG
Small nuclear RNA from Sceloporus undulatus (fence lizard), 162 nucleotides. RefSeq annotates it as U1 spliceosomal RNA. The record is from RefSeq and is a predicted model, not a curated record. The transcript has a single exon. Lineage: Eukaryota; Metazoa; Chordata; Lepidosauria; Squamata; Phrynosomatidae.